This 93-nucleotide ribosomal RNA is filed under the name Lubomirskia baikalensis. RNAcentral's name for it is "partial 28S ribosomal RNA". The record is from RNAcentral. Lineage: Eukaryota; Metazoa; Porifera; Demospongiae; Spongillida; Lubomirskiidae.
UUCCAGAGACCAAAGGGGUUUUUUACAAGAGGGGAUAAAAAAAGAGAGCAACUCGUUGCUCUCGAUUUUUUGAACUUCCAUCCUGGACCUCAG